RNAcentral lists this ribosomal RNA (467 nucleotides) under uncultured bacterium. RNAcentral describes it as "partial 16S ribosomal RNA". It matches the Rfam family "Bacterial small subunit ribosomal RNA", at positions 28 to 507 of the family's 1533-position model. The record is from RNAcentral.
GAUGAACGCUGGCGGCGUGCUUAACACAUGCAAGUCGAACGGAAAGGCCCAAGCUUGCUUGGGUACUCGAGUGGCGAACGGGUGAGUAACACGUGGGUGAUCUGCCCUGCACUUCGGGAUAAGCCUGGGAAACUGGGUCUAAUACCGGAUAGGACCACAUUUUGGAUGGUGUGGUGGAAAGUUUUUCGGUGUGGGAUGAGCUCGCGGCCUAUCAGCUUGUUGGUGGGGUAAUGGCCUACCAAGGCGUCGACGGGUAGCCGGCCUGAGAGGGUGUACGGCCACAUUGGGACUGAGAUACGGCCCAGACUCCUACGGGAGGCAGCAGUGGGGAAUAUUGCACAAUGGGCGCAAGCCUGAUGCAGCGACGCCGCGUGGGGGAUGACGGCCUUCGGGUUGUAAACUCCUUUCGCUAGGGACGAAGCGUUUUUGUGACGGCACCUGGAGAAGAAGCACCGGCUAACUACGUG